This 478-nucleotide ribosomal RNA is filed under the name uncultured bacterium. RNAcentral's name for it is "partial 16S ribosomal RNA". It matches the Rfam family "Bacterial small subunit ribosomal RNA", at positions 28 to 507 of the family's 1533-position model. The record is from RNAcentral.
GAUGAACGCUGGCGGCGUGCUUAACACAUGCAAGUCGAACGGGAAACCUUUUAUCGAAGCUUCGGCAGAUUUAGCUGGUUUCUAGUGGCGGACGGGUGAGUAACGCGUGGGUAACCUGCCUUAUACAGGGGGAUAACAACCAGAAAUGGUUGCUAAUACCGCAUAAGCGCACAGGACCGCAUGGUCCGGUGUGAAAAACUCCGGUGGUAUAAGAUGGACCCGCGUUGGAUUAGCUAGUUGGCAGGGUAACGGCCUACCAAGGCGACGAUCCAUAGCCGGCCUGAGAGGGUGAACGGCCACAUUGGGACUGAGACACGGCCCAGACUCCUACGGGAGGCAGCAGUGGGGAAUAUUGCACAAUGGGGGAAACCCUGAUGCAGCGACGCCGCGUGAAGGAAGAAGUAUCUCGGUAUGUAAACUUCUAUCAGCAGGGAAGAUAGUGACGGUACCUGACUAAGAAGCCCCGGCUAACUACGUG